UUUUCAUCAGACAAUCUGUGUGAGCACUGCAAAGAACGCUUCUUUAAGGUAAGGAGGUGAUCCAACCGCAGGUUCCCCUACGGUUACCUUGUUACGACUUCACCCCAGUCAUGAAUCACAAAGUGGUAAGCGCCCUCCCGAAGGUUAAGCUACCUACUUCUUUUGCAACCCACUCCCAUGGUGUGACGGGCGGUGUGUACAAGGCCCGGGAACGUAUUCACCGUGGCAUUCUGAUCCACGAUUACUAGCGAUUCCGACUUCAUGGAGUCGAGUUGCAGACUCCAAUCCGGACUACGACGCACUUUAUGAGGUCCGCUUGCUCUCGCGAGGUCGCUUCUCUUUGUAUGCGCCAUUGUAGCACG
This 362-nucleotide ribosomal RNA is filed under the name Escherichia coli 2-222-05_S3_C1. Its description in RNAcentral is "partial 16S ribosomal RNA". The record is from RNAcentral. Lineage: Bacteria; Pseudomonadati; Pseudomonadota; Gammaproteobacteria; Enterobacterales; Enterobacteriaceae.